GUGUCAGCAGCCGCGGUAAUACGUAGGGUCCAAGCGUUAAUCGGAAUUACUGGGCGUAAAGCGUGCGCAGGCGGUUCGUUAAGUCAGCUGUGAAAGCCCCGGGCUCAACCUGGGAAUUGCGGUUGAAACUGGCGAACUAGAAUCUGGCAGAGGGGGGUGGAAUUCCACGUGUAGCAGUGAAAUGCGUAGAGAUGUGGAGGAACACCGAUGGCGAAGGCAGCCCCCUGGGCUGAGAUUGACGCUCAGGCACGAAAGCGUGGGGAGCAAACAGGAUUAGAUACCCUGGUAGUCC
This 292-nucleotide ribosomal RNA is filed under the name uncultured bacterium. RNAcentral describes it as "partial 16S ribosomal RNA". It matches the Rfam family "Bacterial small subunit ribosomal RNA", at positions 505 to 796 of the family's 1533-position model. The record is from RNAcentral.